GGGAAUGUGGCUCAGUGGUAGAGUGCUUGCCUAGCAUGCAUGAAGUCCUAGGUUCGAUUCCUCAGUACCA
Molecule: transfer RNA, 70 nt
Filed under: Dipodomys ordii (Ord's kangaroo rat)
Lineage: Eukaryota; Metazoa; Chordata; Mammalia; Rodentia; Heteromyidae
Rfam family: tRNA
About the family: Transfer RNA (tRNA) molecules are approximately 80 nucleotides in length.
Source: Rfam by way of RNAcentral